RNAcentral lists this transfer RNA (65 nucleotides) under Paduniella fasciaria. Its description in RNAcentral is "tRNA-Leu". The record is from RNAcentral. Lineage: Eukaryota; Metazoa; Arthropoda; Insecta; Trichoptera; Psychomyiidae.
UCUAAUAUGGCAGAAUAUUGCAUUAAGUUUAAACCUUAAUUAUAAAGAUUUAUCUUUUUUUAGAA